Molecule: ribosomal RNA, 253 nt
Filed under: uncultured bacterium
Lineage: Bacteria
Description: partial 16S ribosomal RNA
Rfam family: Archaeal small subunit ribosomal RNA
Source: RNAcentral
UACCAGCACCCCGAGUGGUCGGGACGUUUAUCGGGCCUAAAGCAUCCGUAGCCGGUCCUGCAAGUCUUCCGUUAAAUCCAGCUGCUCAACAGAUGGGCUGCGGAGGAUACUACAGGGCUAGGAGGCGGGAGAGGCAAGCGGUACUUUAUGGGUAGGGGUAAAAUCCGUUGAUCCAUAGAAGACCACCAGUGGCGAAGGCGGCUUGCCAGAACGCGCUCGACGGUGAGGGAUGAAAGCUGGGGGAGCAAACCGG